Gopherus evgoodei (Goodes thornscrub tortoise) is the source of this 14763-nucleotide RNA transcript. It is a transcript of the gene named cut like homeobox 2, with no coding region annotated. The record is from RefSeq and is a predicted model, not a curated record. The transcript is spliced from 23 exons. NCBI's taxonomy places the organism in Eukaryota, Metazoa, Chordata, Testudines, Testudinidae.
AUUGGGUCCAGCCACGGCGGGAGCAAAAACCCACCAAACUCUGCCCGCCGCUCUCCGAUUGCCCCCAAGAUGGCCGCCGAGGUGGGAUCGAUGUUCCAAUAUUGGAAGCGAUCGGAGCUGCGCCGGCUGCAGAAGGAGCUUAAUUCUGUUGCUUCAGAACUGGCUGCUCGGCAGGAAGAGAGUGAACAUUCUCAUAAACAUUUAAUUGAACUCAGCCGGGAAUUUAAGAAAAAUGUACCUGAGGAAAUCAGAGAGAUGGUGGCUCCUGUCUUACAGAGCUUCCAAGCAGAGGUGAUUGCACUCAGUAAAAGAAGCAAGGAGGCUGAGACGGCUUUCCUCAGUGUUUACAAGCAAUUAAUUGGAGCACCAGAUCCCGUUCCUGUCCUGGAGGUGGCGCAGAGCUCAGAAGAGAGGCUGCAGCAGGUCCAGUGCCUCAACCCCGAGAACCCACCCCUAAAGGAACUCAACAGGCAGCGGAAGAAGCAUCCAGAGCUCCUUGGCACCAGAGAGCAAAGAGGGGGAAUGUCUCCAGCUGGGCUCACAGUGUCAGAGGGAGCCAGGCUCACUAGCAUCAGCAGCAAAGCACUUUUCACAGACACCUUGCUGCAGAGAAAUGAAGCCGAAAAACAGAAGGGACUGCAGGAAGCCCAGAUCACUUUGGCGGCUAGGCUGGGGGAAGCAGAAGAAAAGAUCAAAGUGCUACAUGCAGCGCUGAAGGCGACCCAGACGGAGCAGCUCGACCUGCGGUGUAAAUAUGAUGCAGAGGCGGCUUCAAAGGCAGAUGAAGUAGCAAUGAUCAUGACAAACCUUGAAAAAGCCAAUCAGCGAGCGGAGGCAGCCCAGAGGGAGGUGGAGAGCCUGCGGGAGCAGCUCGCAUCUGUAAAUAGUUCCAUUCGCCUGGCCUGUUGCUCUCCACAAGGACCCAGCGGGGAUAAAGUGAACUAUUCGCUGUGCUCAGGGCCUAGGCUCGAGGCUGCGCUGGCGGCAAAGGACCGGGAGAUUCUCCGACUCCUCAAGGACAUUCAGCACCUCCAGAACUCUCUGCAAGAGCUGGAAGAGUCCUCGGCCAACCAAAUCGCAGACCUGGAGCGGCAGCUCACGGCCAAGAAUGAAGCAAUCGAAAAGCUGGAAGAGAAAUUGCAGGCCCAGUCGGACUACGAGGAGAUUAAAACUGAGCUGAGCAUCCUGAAGGCCAUGAAGCUGGCGUCUGCGAACUGCAGCCUUCCCCAGAGCAUAUCGAAAUCGGACGAGGCGCUGCUUCUAGACAAAGAAUCUUUCUAUUCAUCCCAGAAAUACAUUUUGGAAAAGCCAAAUCUCUUAGCCAACACUGAGGAGGAUCAUUCUGAGGACGAGUUGGUGAAGGAUUCCGUGGGCCCGGAGCAGUCCUACCCGUCUCCCCAGCAGCUCUCUCAGCUCCCUGGGGAAGACCCUGCCUCCCUCAGCCCCCUCCAGCCUCUGCUGGUCCCCACCGUGGCCCAGGAAGCCCAGAGGACUUUUUCGUUGUCCCCUUUCCCCAGCAUGGCUGCGGGCGAGCGGCUGCCGACGGACGCCUUGCUCCCCAAGCAAAUGGUUCCACCAGCGUACAAGAGCGAGAACGGCAGCAUGCUGGCCUUCCCCUCCCCCUUCUACACAGCCAAAGGCCCCCUGCUGCCCACCAACCCCAGCCACACCACCCCCACCAGCGACUCGAGCCCACCCAGCGACCAGUCGGAAGGUAGCAGUGCCAGCUCGGCCGACGAGGAGCAGCUGGACACGGCCGAGAUCGCCUUCCAAGUCAAGGAGCAGCUGCUGAAACACAACAUUGGGCAGCGCGUCUUUGGCCAUUACGUCCUGGGGCUCUCGCAGGGCUCCGUUAGCGAGAUCCUGGCCAGGCCCAAGCCCUGGCGCAAGCUGACAGUGAAGGGGAAGGAGCCGUUCAUCAAGAUGAAGCAGUUCCUCUCCGAUGAGCAGAACGUGCUGGCGCUGAGGACCAUUCAGGUGCGCCAGCGAGGUAGCAUUACGCCGAGGAUUAGAACUCCAGAAACCGGCUCUGACGAUGCCAUCAAAAGUAUCCUGGAACAAGCGAAGAAGGAGAUUGAGUCUCAGAAGGGAGGUGAAACCAAGAGCUCGGCUGCUCCCCAGAUGGUCACCAACGGCAACAGCAACUCAGAAGAGGCCAUUAAAAGCAUCCUGGAGCAGGCCCGGCGGGAGAUGCAGGCCCAGCAGCAGGCCCUGCUGGAGAUCGAGUCCGGCAGCAGGCCCGUGGCCACACCGCCCACAGAGUGCUCCACCUUGGCCGCCGUCAGCCAGAACAUUGUCCAGGCCUACAUCAAGCAGGAGGAGGGGACGCUGGGCACCAGCUCCAGCUCCACGCAGACCCCCCUGACAGUGCUGUCCCCCGCCGCCUUCGUGCAGAGCAUCAUCCGCAAGGUCAAGUCGGAGAUAGGCGACGCCGGCUCCUACUUUGACCAGCACUGGGCGUCGGAGAGGAGCCUAUUCAGCCGGCCCUACACCUCGGUGUCGCCCUCCCUCUCCUCCUCCUCCAGUUACUCCAGCCUGGCCAACGGGCGGGCCUGGCCACGGGGGGAGCCCAGCGAGGAGGAACUGGCUGCGGGCGAGGACGAGCCCCACAAGGCUGUGGAGAUGAAGACCGAAGGGGCCAGCGCAGAGCCGCAGAGCGCCAGCCGCCUCUCCUAUUACCCGGCGUAUGUCCCACGCACCCUCAAGCCAACCGUCCCACCGCUGACCCCAGAGCAGUACGAAAUGUAUAUGUACAGGGAGGUGGACACCCUGGAGCUGACCAGGCAGGUGAAGGAGAAACUGGCCAAGAAUGGAAUCUGCCAGAGGAUCUUCGGGGAAAAGGUGCUGGGCUUGUCCCAAGGAAGUGUGAGUGACAUGCUGUCCAGGCCCAAACCAUGGAGCAAGCUGACCCAGAAAGGCCGGGAACCAUUUAUCAGGAUGCAGUUGUGGCUUACUGAUCAGCUUGGCCAAGGGAUCAGCCAACAACCAAACCCGCCACAGGCCAGCCCUGGGGAGACCCAGUCUUCCCCCUCCCCACCGCCCAGCCCUUUGGAGCAAGACAAAAGCCCCCCAGAGCCACUCACUCUAACUCUGGAGAGCAGCAAAGAAAAUCAGCAACCGGAGAGCAGGUCGGCCUCGUCCCUGAGUGGGAAGAUGUGUCCCAACAGCCAAGCACCCGUGGGCAUCCAGGAAAUUGUCGCCAUGUCGCCCGAACUAGACACUUACUCCAUCACCAAGAAGGUCAAAGAGGUGUUAACGGACAACAAUCUAGGCCAGCGGCUGUUUGGGGAGAGCAUCCUGGGCCUGACGCAGGGCUCAGUUUCCGACCUCCUCUCCAGACCCAAGCCGUGGCACAAGCUGAGCCUGAAGGGCAGGGAGCCCUUCGUCCGCAUGCAGCUCUGGCUCAACGACCCUCACAACGUCGACAAGCUCCGCGACAUGAAGAAACUGGAGAAAAAAGCUUAUCUGAAGCGUCGCUAUGGGCUGAUCAGUGCCAGCUCUGACAGCGAGUCUCCCAACACCCACUCCGAGUGCACCAGCCCCAGCCUCCAGCCCCAAGACCUCAGCCUUCUCCAGGUCAAAAAGCCCCGGGUGGUCCUAGCUCCAGAAGAGAAGGAGGCCCUGAAGAAGGCCUACCAGCUGGAGCCAUACCCAUCCCAGCAGACCAUCGAGCUGCUCUCCUUCCAGCUGAACCUCAAGACCAACACGGUCAUCAACUGGUUCCAUAACUACAGGUCCCGGAUGCGCCGGGAAAUGCUAGUGGAAGGGGCCCAAGACAACGACACAGACCUGGAGCCGAGCAGCUGUGGGAGUGUCGUGCCUGGCAGCAAUUCGGACAGAGUCCCCAACCCGCUGAGCCCUGAUUCGGAGGGGGAGGACAGAAAGCCCGUCUUCAGAGACACGAAGCACAGAGGGCCAAGCGAGACCCUGAUCAGGGUCAAACAGGAGCAGAUGGAGGUGGGGGAGAAGGGCAACCGUUACAAUCACCGGGACUCUUGCAGCCUGGAGCGGGAGACGGAGCACAUGGUGGCCUCCAUCCAGCAUCCCCGGCUUCUCAAAGAAGAGCGGGUGGAUGCUGCCUGUGCAGAGGCCACUCAGGACACUCCCCAAAGCACUGCCAGCCUCACCAGGAGCAGCGCUUUGUACAGCACAGCGCACGCCGCUGGCACUCCCGACUGCUCUGCCCUUCAUCCACCCCAGGAAUCAGAAGGUGGAGAGCGGCUGCACCCUGACCCCAUUAGCUUUAAAUCCGCCUCGGAGUCCUCCCGCUGCAGCCUAGAGGUCUCUCUGAACUCGCCCUCAGCUGCCUCCUCUCCGGGCCUCAUGAUAUCCGUUUCGCCAGUCCCGUCCUCCUCUGCUCCCAUCUCUCCGUCACUGCCAAACACCACCUCCGCCAAGGUGCAGAGUUCAAGUCCUGCCGCAGAUACGGGCUCUUUACAGCAGAGUGUCAAGCUGAACACAACCAUCCAGCGGAGACACGAGAAAAUGGCCAACCUCAACAACAUCAUCCACAGGCUAGAAAAGGCAGCCAAUCGGGAGGAGACCCUGGAGUGGGAAUUCUGAACAGCUGGGCAGCAGCUGAAGAACAAGGAUCUGAUUGGUUGCUUUCGUUGGUGACAAUUAUAAACUUUCUGGAACACGUUGAUGGAACAGGGAGCCCUACUGGCGUAUAUAUAAAAAUAUAUAUAUAUAUAUAUAUUUUGUUAAUUUCAUCACAUGCUGAGGACAAAAGAAAAACCCAUUUGGUUAAUAAGAAAGGGAAGGAAAAACAGCACGUAGCUUCUGAAUCUUCACACCUGAUGAAAGGGAACAAAAAUAAAUAAAACCUGAGCUUUGUUUUAAAUGUGAAAAACUGGAUACACUUUUAGAAAAAAAAUAUUUAUAGACCUCUUUUAGAUAUUUUAAUAAAAGGAUACUUUGGAAUUUAUUAACAGCUUACGCUGUUUUGAUAUUAAAGAUAGCUAUAAAAUCAAGAUGAUGUAGCAUCUGUGUCAUUAAAUGUACACUGAAGUCUUGUAGUUUGCCACUGGAAGAGAUUAAAAAAAAAAAGACAUUGAUCAAAGCCAUUGAGAAGCACUAUAAGACUGACCAAAUUUAAUAAACUUUUGACUAGCGGUUUUUCCACAUUUGUCUGUAAGACACUGCAUUGCUACUUUCCUUUCCAGAGACUGUGGUUAUAGUCCGUGAAGACUCUAAAUUGAAACCCUUGAUGCCAUCGAGUAUGUAUUUAAUUCUGGUGGUAUGUUUUGAACUCUUUGUAACACAGAAUGUCACGUGCAGUUGUAUAUGUUGUAGAAAAUGUCUGCAAUAGCCUUCCUGAACAAGCUGUAGCAUGGUCCAUAACCAAUUCCUUCUACUUCUUCUCGUGCGUAACCCGUGACAAACCGAAAAGAACAAAACAGUUUCAGCGGUUGGCGGCAAAGCUUUCUGUCCGUUUGAAAAACAAACACAAAAAUUGAAAUAACCUAUAUCUCUGAUUUUGGGAGGGAGAAGGGAAAGGUUCACGGGUGCAAAAUGUCUUUUGACGUGUCUGGUUUGAUAGUAACGUACAUUAACAAUGAUCAUGACAUCGCAAGAUAUUUUUUUUUAUGCAUGAGCAUCACCUCCUUUGGUGAGUGGGCGUCGGCCAGCAGGACAUGUUAACUCUGAGCUUUCAAUGCCAGUGCUUGGGGAAAAGCACUCAAAAAAUAGAAACCACUGGCUCGCCUCCGGAGUCGGAAUCUGUUUGUUUUUACCUUAGGUAGUUCCAGCCUUUGAGGCAGAAGCACCUUUAUGUUGCUAGAUUUUGGGCUCUAGAAAGAGUGCCAAGGAAUGAGGAUUAUCCGCCAGGUUUGAAUCCGUCAGCAAAUGGCUUUAUUUACAUGUUAUGGCUUCUGCAUGUCAAAUAGGUCCUCAACUGUUCUCUACAGCAACGCUUGGUUGAAGUUACAGCCUAAGGCCAACCGCCUUCCCCCCGCACUGAGUGAAGGGUAUAAAUCCUGGACAGUAGAAAGGCAGUGCUGCAGCACCUUGGGGCACUUGCUUCCACCCCACCCCACUUUGCAGUGGGCGCCGUUACAACAAAUUGCCCUCUGGUACCCACCGUGUCUUCCCGUGCUUAGAUAGGAGGUCCUUGGUAAUCGACCGGGGCCCUGAUUCAGCAAAGCCCUUUUAAGCGCAUGCUUUGACUUCAGUAAAGCCUAAGAUGCGUGUGAAGUUACACGUCAGUUUUUGCUGAACUGCGGCCUUCGGGCCUGAUCCAGAGCUCGCUGAAGAGGGCAGGAGUCUUGCCAUUGAUUUCCAGGGGCUUUGGAUCAGGCUUUCAUUACAGAGAGGCACAUGCUGAGUUAUCAGCCAUCGGACCAGACAUUUUAGCAGCAUCAGUUGCACGUGUAUCUCUGUGCUGUUGAAUUGCCCCUGCAAUGGAUUUUUCUCCCAUUCUCGCAGCUAAAGACUGUUGAAUAGACCAAGAUCUAUCUUAAUCCGUGCCAGUGAUCAAGCCCCGGCUAACGCAAUGCCUUUCAAAGAAGACUGGUUUAAAUGAAUUGUGUUGGUUUGUUCAGUGCUGGGCGGGGGCUUUUAACAGCCUUUGGCAAGGACCAGAAUGCAGCAUGCAAAGACCUACCCAUUCCCUCCCUUCACAGAUGCAGCCAGGUAAAAAUCUCCGCACCGAAUGGCAACUGAAGUGUCGUGAGCGCACAUCUGCCAGGCACAGAGGCGAUGCAUGGAAUACUUUUCCACUGUAUACAUUUUUAUCAGAAUAGAAGGUAUUUUUAUACUCGGGUGGUAGUUAAUGACCAAUUUUAAAAGCAAAUCCAUUUGACUCCAUGACGGCCAGGAUCCAUCUGCCAUAUUUUAGCAACCAUAGCCCUGUCUGAACAAGUGAGAGCUUGUCUAACGGAACAAUUUGUAUGGUUUCAAACCCCAACAUGCCAUAGAAGGGCGAGGCAUACACGUUGACUACUAUUCUUAGUGUGCUAGUUGUUAGCUUUAGUGGAACGGGAUUUGAUUAAGCACUUAGUCUAGUUUUUGAACACAGAAAUCCUGUUGUACUAAAAGCUAGGUGGGACAUGUUGAUCACUUUUUGUUAGGCUCAUGUACUGUACUUAAAAAGUUUCUAUGAGAUUGAUGAACUUUGUUAAAAAUUUUAAAAGGAACAAGUUCUGUAAAGAGCCACUAAAUACAGAAGUUGUAUAAUAACUUUGGUGUUUCGAUCUGUUUUGUUCUGAGUUGGUUCCUAAGCAAUCCCUUUCCUCCCUCAUCUCCCUGCUUUCUGAACCUGCAAGGAGUUAGUUCUUGAUGACACAACACACCACGGAUAUAUGUGUCGUCUUGUCUAGGGCCCAGCUGCAUCCUGUACAGUCCUCCCCCAGUGCUGCGCUAGGGAUGGGCUGAACCAAACCCCUCGCUCCAAACAGCCCUGGACCCGGAGCAGCGUUCAGAAUCCAACUGUGGAGCUGGAUUUGAAUUCUGCAACCAGCCCCAAGCUAACCAUGGCACAAACUAACCCCCAACUGCCAACCCACCCCAAAUCCAGAGCCCAGGGGCCAUCUCUACCGACGCCCCGUCUUUCCGCAAGCAGUUCACGCUGCACUUCCGCUGCAGGGAUGUUCCAGCUGCUAGCCAGCCGGCAGGGUCAGGCAAAGCUAAAUCCCAGCCAUGCUCAUGCUAUGAGCUCCGGAGGCCCAAAGAGAGCGAUGAAGCGAGGCGCAGAGGCUUUGGAUUAGCAGGCGUAGCUGUUCUCUUGUGUUGGGCUUUGGUCAUUCGUUCCCCAUUCUCCCCCUGCCCCCAGCAUACCCGAAAACGAACACUGGCCACCCAAGAGACAGCAGCGGUGAGGUAGCAGGAGCCGCCCAGCCCUGGAGGGAGAACAAGCAACAGCAUCUCUAGCACGGCUGCGUGAGAGACAAAGCAAGUCCUGCUGCAUGGAGCAUGGCUACAGCCUAGGUCAGCGUCCUUCCCGCCUCCCUGCAGGGAGCCAACCCCACCUGUGUCUGCACCUCAGCAUGGAGCUGCCUUUCUGCUGUGGCUCACAGCUCAUUUUCCUGUAUCGCUCGCCUCUGGCCCUCCUGCCGCAGAUGCUGCGGUUCACGCUGGCAUAGAUCCCACCUGCGCUGCCACCAUCUCGGGCACAGCAUCAAGGCCACUGCCGCUGGAUUUCCCCUUUCAUGGGCCACCAAGAGCACCUGGCUUCAGGCUGUCGGCUCCCACAAUCAUCCAUAACCUUAAUGUGACCAGGGCGUUCAAGGCGAUUGCCCUGUCAGUUACAGGUCGCCCCCAGAGGCCCAGUCGCUGAUUGGCGGCUAGAUGCUUCACAACUACACAAUGGGAGAUGCUCCGUAAUGGGGCGGGCUGUCCCCUGGAAGGGCCGGGAAGCAGCCAGCCCCGUUCUGAAGAGGAGCCCAGCAGGCAGGUGCUGGGAAUCGCCUGUCCCAGCUGGAUAGCAUCAGGUGAUUGGAGCUAAGCUAGCUAGGAGAUAUAAACAAGGGCCCCGGCAAGCUGUGCGUGCUUGGGCCCAGCGGAGGGCUGGAGGAUGCUCUCUGGGGACUGUGAGGAGGACUGGGAGAGAGCAGGCAGGCCUUGUGGACACCCCAGGCUGGGAAAUUACCUGCCCAGAAAGCUGAUGGAGGUCUGAGGGCCCCAUGGGCUAGGAGGGGCACUUGAUAUUACUUGAUCUUGUGAACAUAAGAACGUCCAGACUGGGUCAGCUCAAAGGUCCACCUAGCCCAGUGUCCUGUCUUCUGACAGUGGCCAAUGCCAGGGACCUCAGAGGGAAUGAACAGAGCAGGGAAUCAUCAAGUGAUCCAUCCCCUUUGCCUUGUUUCCUUUCUUUUGCAUUGAAGAUUAAACAGGACCCGGAAGUAAAGGCUAUGAACUGACCAAAGUGUGGCCAGUUGCUUUCCCCAGGCUGGCGAUUGAAUCCACCAGCCUCCACGAUCUCUGCCCCAAAGCUCCCUCUCCUGCUAUUGGCUCUCCCGAGUGCCCCACUGAACCAAAGGCAACUGCAGCGUCAGGGCGUAAGAUGAAGGAGAACCAGGCAGGGACGCACAUCGUAAAGCUUGGUGUAUAUUUUAAGGCUGGGAAUGAAACUCAAUGGGAGUUGGGCACCUCACUCUCCCAGGUGAUUUUAAAAAUCCUGCAUCCAAAUCUUGUCUCUCUUGGAGUGACAUGGCAGCCACAGGGCAGCUGUUUGCUUCUGCUAGCUGCAGACUUGCUGUUUUUGUUUUGUUAGGUGCUAACAGCUAUGUCAAAAGGGCUCAGAACAAACUGCAAAUGGGGCAAAAUACUCUGGUGCUCACCAGAUUAGCACCAGGAGCCUGUCUUGCUUUCAAAGCGGGCCCUGCCCCAAUGGGCUAGUGAUACACAUGGUGGAAAUAGAGGUUAGAAAAAUCAGAGGAAAUGAACCGGCCAUGAUGCAUAAUCCCCUUCUGAUUGCAGGGCCGCUGCUCAGUGCUGGGAAUGGCAGAUAGAACAAGGCACAGCAGAUGCCAGGAAAAUGGAGUUGCAAGAAAUUUAGCCCAAUGUCCUGGUUUAAAGAGGUGAUGACUAAGUUUUUUUUAACACUACAAUGCAUUUCCCUAAAAGAGAGUUUGAGCGCAAUUCUGGGUCCUCAUCCAAAACCAGCAAAGUUGACUUCAAUGGAGCUUAGAUUAGUCCUGUCUAUAAGCAAUAGCUUUGAAACUGCUUCCCUAUUUUGCUCUCAGUAAAGUGGUGUUACAUAAGGGGUCUGAUUUUGAGCUCAGCUAGGCAGGCAUAAAAUGAAGAUGGCUGAAAAAUGCAGGGGAGAAAAAAAUGCAAUGAACAUUUUUAGAAAUGCUUUGCAGAAAAUUGUUGCAAUUGUGACUAUCUGAGAUGCUCUGGUUCCCCAGCUUGGAAAGCUGAAAACAUUUUUCAUGAAAUAUGUUGAAAUAUUUUGGGGGAAAAAAGUGUUUCUGAAAAAUUGACACACUCCAGGUGUAAAACUGGAGUAACUCCAGUGGGUGCUUUAGGACCUCAAUGCUCCUGAAAAUCCAGUCGCAGCUGUGCCCUAAACAGAACGUUUUGGCCUAAUAUGUUUGGGUCAGGAAUCCCAUGGCACGGCACAUCCCAUAGCUAAAGGUUAACCCAGUAUAUUAUACCUAGGGCCCUACCAAAUUCGGGGUCAAUUUCACAGUCAUAGGGUUUUAAAAAUCAUAAAUUCCAUGAUUUCAGCUAUUUAAAUUUGAAAUUUCACAGUGUUGUAAUUGUAGGGGUCCGGACCCAAUAUGGAGUUGUGUGGGUAACAAGUUAUUGUGGGGGAGGGGGGUUUGUGGUCCUGCUGCUCUUACUUCUGCACUGCUGCUGGUGGCGGCGCUGCCUUCAGACCUGGGCGCCCAGCCAAUAGCUGCUGCUCGCCAGCCACCCAGCUCUAAAGGCAGUGCAGAAGUAUGGGAGGGCAAUACUGAGAUCCCCCCUGCAACUCCCUUUUUGGUCAGGACUCCCUGUUUGACAAACACUGGUCUCCCCAUGAAAUCUGUGUAGUACAGGGUAAAAACACACAAAAGACCAGAUUUAAAGGGGGGAAACCAGUUUUCACACUCCGUUUUUCAUAGCUGUGAACUUGGUAAGACCCUAAUUAUAGCCCUGGCAAAAUCAUUCUCUGAGAAGAACAGGAAGACCCUGGUGUGACUCACAGGAGCCCUGUUACUGCAAGUGGCGACUUCUGAUUGUGGAAAACAGCUGUUUUAAAGAGAUGCUGGCAACUAGCUUUGAGUCUCAAUCUUAAAUGUUUGAGUAAAGGGUUCUCUCAGUGUGGGGGCGUUGGGCUGGUUUGGAGUCACAUUCCCCCACAGCAGCAGGCGAGGGGCCCAGUUUAUGUCUAGUGCUCAAGUCGAUCGAAAUGUCCAGGAAUAAAAAGUGCCCUAGAUGGAGAAGAGUCACGCUGGUCCUGGGCUGCCAGCCUCCUGUUGAUCCAGGGAACAGGAGAUCCAGCCCCCUGCUGCCAUCCAGUCUCCCUGCUCGUCAUCAAAUCCCCAUUUGCCUUCCCCUCCCUUCUGAAACCCAACCCACCUUUUAGGGCUAGCACCAUCUGGCCCUUCACAAGCUCAGGUGCCUACUGGCAUCAAUUUCCUCUGCCUUUAAACCGACCACAUGAUGCAGUCCUCUGAGCCGCUCAAAGCUCAUUCAGCGUUCCCUGGCACGUGGCCUUUGUAACCUUCACCCCCACCCUGUGCUAGCAGCAGCUGCUACUGAUCCAGGGGGCUGACUAACAGGAGUUGGAGCUGGCCCUGGAGGGUACCCUAGAGCUAAACAGCCUCUGAACUGCAGGGUUUCCACUGGGAUGGCUGUUCUCCUCCUCACAUGCAUCGUUUGUAUCCCCCUCCUCACCGUAGUUAAGCUACAUGCCUCACACCUGCCAGGCCUUUGCAUUGUGUAUUGGCACAGAUACUGUGUAACACGUGUGCGCUAGGCACUGUACCAAGGUCAGUUAUGUUUUCUCACAGCAGGCCUGAGCCAGAGCAGCUGCUUUGGAGGGGCACUGAGCCCCUUCCAUUCCCAUGGACUCCAAGGGGACAUACAAAUGCUGAUGGCUCUCAGCAUCAGGUGCUAGGUCAGUACUGCUUAAGUCAAUGAGCGACUUGUCCGGUCUAUCAGUGGGAGCCACAUCUUGUCUGACUAUUGCACUUUGCAGGCAUCAGUAAUGCACCGGGUUUCUGGCACCGGCUCUGCAAAAGGGUGGCUGUUGCUCAGCUCUCUGGGCUCGGCAGGUGCACAGCUAGGGGUUCCAUGCUCCAGAGUGAGGGAUGAUCCAUUUUUUCCACAGUAGAGGGGGCUUGGAAGCCAGCUUGUGGUGGGCAUUUUUUUUUUUUAAAUGACUUGACUUCUGAGACUGUAAAGUUAUAGGGCAUGGUGCCUGAGGGCUAGUGAUUUGCACAAUUCUGAACGAAGAAAAGGCCUCGUGGAAAUAUCUGAUUUAGUCUUGGACGACUGAAGAAAAAUACACUCAGCAGCGGGUUUGCAGACAAUCCAUCUUCCCUCGGAUGACGUGUCUGCUGUUGCCCAAGCUGGCAAUUCUUGGAAUGAUUUUAUAUGUGCAAGUACUACAUGCAAAAUAUCUAUGAAUAGUUCCACUUCCCGCACUUUCAAAAAAAAAUCCCCCCUUUGGAGAUUUAUGAUCUCAGCUCUAUGUUGUUAUUCAUAGCUUGCAAAAAAGUAUGAAUUUUGGUCUGACUUGCACUUUUCCAUUAUUUUAGUUUUAAAAAAAUAAAAUAUUCUUCCUUCAUCAUAGACACGAGAGAGCUUCUACUGAGAGAUGACAGGUUGUUUAUAGAGCAAGGGCUAGAAGCAGUUUGUGAUCAGUUUAUCUUUGUGGAUUUCCCAGUACUAAACUAGCAGUUAUCAAAUGGAAAACAAACCCUUGGUGCCUCGCAGUUCUGUAGUAUUUGGAUCUCCCAGCAUUUUCCAGGCUGUAAGGAGUGGAUUUCAAACUGUAACCUUGGCGGAUUCUUUAAUUAUUCCAUUAGGUAUAAUCCCUCCCUCCCCCCCUAACAUUCUACUUGAAUUUGCUUCCCCCUAGGCCCAGCAUGAUAAGUGGACCUUUGACCUAGUUCAGAGUAAGUCUAUGUGAUAGUAUUUACAUAAGCAGAACAGCUCUCAGGCUAUCAGCAGCUUUGGUCCUGACACUUUCACUAUUAAAAGCAUGUGCCUCCACCAUUUGAGCUAAACAGUAAUUCCAUGACCUGGUAGCAGUAGUAAACUCUUGUCCUGUACUGGGAGGGGGGACACAGUCCCACAUUCUGCCAGAGUGGGUUACACAUGAUAGUGUUCUCAGGACCCGUUGUGUAAAAUUGUUAGGAGUUAAACCUUAGUAUAACUAAAGUCAAUGUCAAAACUCCCAUUGACUGGGGUGGCACCAGGUUCUGGAAUUAAAACAUGCAGGGUGUUUAGACUAACAAGUCAAACCUUGAACACAUGUAGAAAGCUCAACCAAGCCGCAUUUCUAAAAUAACUUUGAGUAAGGAAGUAAAUACAUUCUGAGAGAGGGAACAUGUACAUGUCCCUUCUGAAAGAAAAUUAAUGGCAGCCAAACUUUUAAUGACAUUUCUUUGCAAAAUGUUACACUCUUGCAAGUUACAAAAUAGCUCUCCCUUUGGAAUAAAAACACACCAUCUUUGACAGUCAGACACUAACAUAAAUAAGGAUACCAGUAAAUUAAAAUUAUGGUACAAUAACAUGAAACACAAAAUGGAAAGGCCAGGCGUACAUAUAUAUAAAAUGCACCACAACCCAGCUGGAGAAUGAGGAGGGGAUAAUCCACUAAAACAUGGCUUGUCUUAGUGUUUAUAAGAUGUGUGUAAGAUAGAGUUAAGCGGGCACACACACACACACACACACACACACAGAGCUUUAAUACAGCCCAUGAAUCAUUCAACGCCUCGCUGAUGGUAUCAUUCUUUGUCUGACAUGUUCUUGUUCAAUACGCAAGAGAAUUCCCCUCCUCCCCCCCCAGUGUUUCAGGGACACUUCCCCUUAAAGACAACGGACACUGGGAUGCUGACAGCUUAACACAUUCAGAGGUUUGGAUGCCUGUAGCACUCAGCUGUUUCUGCCUAGCCAUGUAUUUACUCCACGUGCAGUGAAAAAAAAAAAAUCCCAGAAUUUUCAUUCCCUGCCAGCACUACUCCAAGGCAGUCAAGUGUCAUAGGAGUUCGUGUCCAUGCAGUAUUUUCCAGUACGCAGAAGCCUUUGACAACCAAGCUGGGCUGUAAUGCUGGGAUGAUCAUGUGUUCCUUAAAACCCUUGCCCCGUCUAAAGGCGAGCUCACCUCUUACACUACAACAUGUGCAUCCACAGAGCCAAAUUCAGCCUGGAGGUAAGUCCACUGACUUCCCUGGCGUUACUGCAGGGAUGAAGUUGCCCCCGUGAGUUUAAGGGCUCCUAACGAGCACAGGCUGUACACACGAUGCCAACCACUGUAGAUUGCGAAAUGAUCCAAGUUAAACUCUUCUGCAGUUCUACCAGGUUGCUCUAGGUAACAUGAAAGAAUUUCACUCCUACUGUGUAAAGUUAAUUGUGAUUUGCUGUCCAGAUGCAAUUGUCAAGUCCUAAGAAACCCCAUUUAUCUAGUGCAAGAGUCUGGCUCCUCUCUUCUCUAUUUUUAAUGUCCCUGGAAACUGAGAACAUUUGGAAGAGGCAGAUUUCCCACAAAGCAGUUUGUGCUGAAGUAGUCGAAGUUGUCCAUUGCACUCGCCUACCUAACUGCAGUCAAAGACGGUGUGGUCAAAAGCAGAUCUCAGUCAGCGUUGCUUGCUGGGAUUGUCAAUGGAUUCCUCGUGGGGGUCGAUUCUGUGCCCAGGAGAACUCGGUGUUAAGUACGGUAAGGGCAUGUGUCACGGGUAAGGCAAGCAUUCAAAUGCUAGCAUCCUUCCCUGGGAGAACAGAUUUAAAAUGUACCCACAUGACAGGCUGGAGAGGAAAAAAAUAUUUUUUAAAGAAAGAUCUUAUAAAUAACUUUUCAGUAUCACAAAUAAAUUCACACACACACACAGACCCAGCAGUGAAUCUGUGGCAUGUUAUACGGUACAUACAAGGAAUACAAAACAAGGUGCAUGGAAAUGACCUCAGACCUUAUGCUCAGGGAGACCAUUUUCUAUUUAGGCAAUCUUAGGAGUGUGAAAUAUUCCCAAGAACUGGACAUCACUCAACGAGCCAGGAGCUGCAAUAAUAUAUGCAUCUCUUCAAUGGAGACGUUGUCCCACAAUGGAACUGACAGGAGAGAGUAAAAAUUAAAAUAUUUCAGCAAUAAAAAAUGUUAAAAAAAAAAAA